This 554-nucleotide long non-coding RNA is filed under the name Phoenix dactylifera (date palm). Its description in RNAcentral is "long non-coding RNA (PDAC_LNC021478)". Lineage: Eukaryota; Viridiplantae; Streptophyta; Magnoliopsida; Arecales; Arecaceae. The record is from RNAcentral.
AGAGUAAAAGAUCAAAACUUAUAUACUUGAAAAACAUAUCAUCAUGUUGGAUUAUGACUUCAAAGUUCUUUUUAUGAUAAUAAGAGCAUUGGGGCACAAAUACCAAAAUAUGAAUUCAUGCAAUUUAUGAUAUAUCUUAGAGCUCUUUUAAGGACUUUCUUUUAUUCCUUUAGAAAAUAAGCACGAUUUGAUACAUAUAUAAAAAUAUGAGUUGGCACAAUAUUGAAGUUCUAAAGAGCAAGCCAAUUAGGACUCAUUAGUGAAUUCCAAAAUAGAUUUUCUACGAGAUACUCAAGAAAAUUUAACAUGUUAUUCUUCCCUUUUUUCAUUAAAUUAGAGGCUCUUAAGAUCAACUAUUUGAAUUGCAAUUUGGUUCAUGAUUUGUGCAGAAGAUAUAUUAACAAAAUAACAUGCCUCAAGGUGUAUCAUAAAGAUUUUCAGAUUUAAAUUUCAGAUGAUACAUAUUGGAGAGUAUUAGGAUCACUUUUCAUUUAGUAUUCUUUCCCUACUCCUAUAGAUUUAUGUAAUUAAGUUCCGUGAGACCUCUCCUUCUG